RNA transcript from Diospyros lotus (date-plum), 2262 nucleotides. It is a transcript of the gene named DEAD-box ATP-dependent RNA helicase 1, with no coding region annotated. The record is from RefSeq and is a predicted model, not a curated record. NCBI's taxonomy places the organism in Eukaryota, Viridiplantae, Streptophyta, Magnoliopsida, Ericales, Ebenaceae. The transcript has 10 exons.
GCAGUGGCCCGCUAACCCUAAUCCGCUUCCUGGUUUUAACAGGUAAUACCGUCUUCUUCCAUCACCUCUCUUUGCUCUCGGCUCCUCUCUAUUGAUUUGCAUACAUACACAAACUCGUACUAUUCUGUCUCCGCGUAUAGGGUUUUUGUGGGGUUUACAGGGGGUUAGAAACGGUAGUAUUAUCUAUUGAGAGAGAGAGAGAGGCAAUGGAGGAAGCAUCAGAACGAAACAAGAAGCAGAGCGGGCCAGUGCUUGCAUGGAUGAGAAGCCCGAUUGACGUUUCCCAAUUCGACGAAUGCCCUCUUAAUCGCCUCCCCUUUCUCGACCCUAGGUUGCAGGUGGCUUUGCAGAGUAUGGGUAUUACUUCCCUCUUUCCUGUGCAAGUUGCAGUCUGGCAAGAGACUAUGGGACCUGGUUCUUUUGAGAGAGACCUUUGUAUAAAUUCUCCCACAGGAAGUGGAAAGACGUUAGCCUAUGCUUUGCCUAUAGUGCAAAUGUUGUCAACUCGUACCAUUCAAUGUCUUCGUGCUUUAGUAGUGUUGCCUACACGUGAUUUGGCCUUACAGGUUAAGGAAGUCUUUGCUGCUAUUGCACCUGCAGUUGGCUUAUCUGUUGGCUUGGCAGUUGGCCAGUCCUCAAUUGCUGAUGAAAUUUCAGAACUUAUUAAGAGGCCUAAACUUGAGGCAGGUAUCUGUUAUGAUCCAGAUGAUAUUUCACUGGAUUUACAGAGUUCAGUGGACAUUUUGGUUGCAACACCUGGAAGGCUGAUGGAUCAUAUUAACUCUACGAGAGGUUUUACACUUGAGCAUCUUUGUUAUCUGGUCGUUGACGAAACAGAUCGAUUGCUCAGGGAGUCAUACCAAUCCUGGCUUCCUACUGUUCUUCAGUUCACUCGCUUCGGUGUGGGAGGGCUCUUCCCUCAUGCCAGAAAUUUCCUUCCUUCCAUGUUUGGUUCACUAAAGACAAUAAGGAGACUCGGUGUUGAGAGGGGAUUCAAGGAUAAAUUUUACCCUAGGCUUGUGAAGAUGGUACUAUCUGCCACACUAACCCGGGAUCCAAGCAAACUCGCGCAGCUUGAUCUGCAUCACCCUUUGUUCUUGACAACUGGACAAAGACGUUACCGACUCCCGGAACAACUAGAAUCCUUCAAAUUGAUAUGUGAAUCAAAACUUAAACCAUUGUAUUUGGUGGCCCUUCUUCAAACUUUGCAAGGGGAGAAGUGCAUUGUUUUCACAUCCUCAGUAGAAUCAACCCACAGACUCUGCACAUUACUGAACUUCUUUGAUGAUUUACGAAUCAAGAUCAAGGAAUAUUCUGGUCUUCAGCAGCAGUCCAUAAGAAGCAAGACAUUGAAGGCAUUUCGGAAGGGAGGAAUACAAACACUUGUUUCCUCUGAUGCAAUGACUCGUGGAAUGGAUGUUGAAGGGGUCAGACAUGUUAUCAACUAUGAUGUGCCGGCAUACAUAAAGACAUACGUUCAUCGAGCUGGUCGAACUGCUAGAGCAGGCCAGUCAGGGCGUUGCUUUACACUUCUUCGUAAAGACCAGGUUAAGCGAUUCAAGAAGAUGUUACAGAAAGCUGACAACAACUCUUGUUCUGUUUACUCUGUUCCUUCUGAUGCCAUAGAAUCACUUCAGUCAACAUAUACUUCUGCUCUGGAAAAAUUGAAGGAGAGUGUUGAAGCAGAAACAAACAGGAAGCGCAAGACUAAAUUCAAGUCUUCUAGCUUGGUUAAAGGACAGAAGUUAAACAAUUAGUAGGCAUGAAUUUUGUUUUCCUAACAUGAAUCUCUCAUCACAUGUCCAAAUUUGCUGUCUGUAUGAGUGAAUCUGAAACUGGAGAACAAUUAUAGAAUUCCCUCUUCAAGAUUGCCCGAGGAAAGAUCUUAUGGUCUUUCACUUGCCUUUUUCUUGUUUGUUAUCAUUUACUUUUGUCUAAGGCUUCUGGUAAAUGAAAAUGUCUUUUAUUUUAUUAUCCAAAAUAUUUGUCACAUGUGAAGUGGGUAUAUGUUGCAGAUGCUGAAUUCAUGUAUGUGAAAUCAUGAGACAACAAAAGUGUCAUGGUAUAAACAACAUGACACUUGAAUGAUGAGGUGUUGGUAACAAUACGUCUUGGUUUAUGUUUACUUGGAUCCCUAUACACAGGAACAUGUGAUCUAGGUUCGAGUCCAGUAUAGAGUUGACAUAUGAUUAACAGAACAGUACACCAACUUGUGAUACAUAGUUAGCUAAAUUUUGAUACAAACUCCUUACAGGAUUUUCC